RNAcentral lists this long non-coding RNA (1063 nucleotides) under Selaginella moellendorffii. Its description in RNAcentral is "long non-coding RNA (SMOE_LNC001192)". The record is from RNAcentral. Lineage: Eukaryota; Viridiplantae; Streptophyta; Lycopodiopsida; Selaginellales; Selaginellaceae.
CUCACGUCUACGUGUCUUCACAGGAGAUGAUUUUCCGAGGCACUGACACCGUUGCUCUCCUCACCGAGUGGAUUCUCGCGGAGCUCGUCCUCCAUCCUGAAAUCCAGAGCAAGUUGCGUGAGGAGAUCGCUAGCGUAGUUGGAGGAAAAUCCGAAGUUGCCGAGUCCGACCUCCACAAGAUGGUGUACCUCCAAGCCGUUGUAAAGGAGACUCUUCGGAUGCAUCCUCCGGGUCCCUUGCUCUCUUGGGCUCGGCUUGCGAUUCACGACGUAACCUUGGCCGGUCACCACGUCCCUGCAGGCACCACGGCCAUGGUAAACAUGUGGUCCAUCACUCACGAUCCAUCCAUCUGGUCCGAGCCUGAGAAAUUCAGCCCGGAGAGAUUUCUGGAGCAGGACGUCGACGUGAAAGGAACUGACUUACGUCUCGCUCCAUUCGGAGCUGGUCGCCGAGUGUGUCCCGGACGAGCUCUCGGCCUCGCUACUGUUCUUCUCUGGACGGCUCGGUUGGUUCACAAGUUUGAGUUCCAGGUCGACCCAGCCCAUCCCGUUGAUCUCACCGAAGUUCUCAAGCUGUCCAGCGAAAUGGCUGCACCACUGGUGGUAAAAGUGAGAUAGUUAGUCUCAAGCAAAAAAAUGUGGCAAAGAUCUUUCAUCAAUAAGAUAAUUCUAGAGAUUCUUUAUACCUCUCGAGAUAGCUCUAUAGAUCCUAGAGCGCAAAUCUGAAGCUAGGCGUGGUGAGUCUGAGAAGAUUAUGUGAAGAACGAAGAAAUUACCUCCAAAGGAAGAAUAGGGGAAACGAUGUCCUGGCAUUUCCCUACCUCGAUCUUUAUGCGCUGCGGCGAAUCAAUCAGGCGCGCUGGAGGAUAGAUUUCCCCCAAUCCAUCGCAAACCAUCGCAGGGCACCUGGGAGAUUGCAGAGUACCAAAGGAAUGGAGGACUGAUCUCUUUGCCGCGCAACAACCAAGCGAUCUGACACAAGAACCCUAAGUGACGCCACAAGGAUUCGAACAGCUGACGUGAUGGGCCAAAGCGUACGUUUGUCCCGUACGGAUAAACCCAAG